AAACAAUAGCAUUUUUCAAUGCGUAUCGGUUUCGGCCCGAUAAGAGCGAUCACACGCAUUGUUUU
Molecule: transfer RNA, 65 nt
Filed under: Metaphire sieboldi (earthworm)
Lineage: Eukaryota; Metazoa; Annelida; Clitellata; Crassiclitellata; Megascolecidae
Description: tRNA-Arg
Source: RNAcentral